RNAcentral lists this ribosomal RNA (214 nucleotides) under Escherichia coli. RNAcentral's name for it is "partial 16S ribosomal RNA". It matches the Rfam family "Bacterial small subunit ribosomal RNA", at positions 195 to 397 of the family's 1533-position model. Lineage: Bacteria; Pseudomonadati; Pseudomonadota; Gammaproteobacteria; Enterobacterales; Enterobacteriaceae. The record is from RNAcentral.
GCAAGACCAAAGAGGGGGACCUUCGGGCCUCUUGCCAUCGGAUGUGCCCAGAUGGGAUUAGCUUGUUGGUGGGGUAACGGCUCACCAAGGCGACGAUCCCUAGCUGGUCUGAGAGGAUGACCAGCCACACUGGAACUGAGACACGGUCCAGACUCCUACGGGAGGCAGCAGUGGGGAAUAUUGCACAAUGGGCGCAAGCCUGAUGCAGCCAUGC